This 497-nucleotide ribosomal RNA is filed under the name uncultured bacterium. RNAcentral's name for it is "partial 16S ribosomal RNA". It matches the Rfam family "Bacterial small subunit ribosomal RNA", at positions 28 to 507 of the family's 1533-position model. The record is from RNAcentral.
GAUGAACGCUGGCGGCGUGCCUAAUACAUGCAAGUCGAGCGAACAGACGAGGAGCUUGCUCCUCUGACGUUAGCGGCGGACGGGUGAGUAACACGUGGAUAACCUACCUAUAAGACUGGGAUAACUUCGGGAAACCGGAGCUAAUACCGGAUAAUAUAUUGAACCGCAUGGUUCAAUAGUUAAAGACGGUUUUGCUGUCACUUAUAGAUGGAUCCGCGCCGCAUUAGCUAGUUGGUAAGGUAACGGCUUACCAAGGCGACGAUGCGUAGCCGACCUGAGAGGGUGAUCGGCCACACUGGAACGGAGACACGGUCCAGACUCCUACGGGAGGCAGCAGUAGGGAAUCUUACGCAAUGGGCGAAAGCCUGACGGAGCAACGCCGCGUGAGUGAUGAAGGUCUUCGGAUCGUAGAACUCUGUUAUUAGGGAAGAACAAAUGUGUAAGUCACUAUGCACGUCUUGACGGUACCUAAGCAGAAAGCCACGGCUAACUACGUG